Molecule: long non-coding RNA, 470 nt
Filed under: Rattus norvegicus (Norway rat)
Lineage: Eukaryota; Metazoa; Chordata; Mammalia; Rodentia; Muridae
Description: long non-coding RNA NONRATT033152
Source: RNAcentral
AUGCUGAUUUCUACCUUCCGAGGUCUCACUUUAUGACAUUGUCGAACAGAUCCGAAUAUUCACAAAUCCUUAAGGGAUUACAUCCAGAAACGGACUUCCCCAAGAACUGGCAUCCAAGAUGGCCUCCAAAGUCCUGACUCCUUUAAUGUGCAAUUACCAGUUGUGUAGUUUCCCAUGAAUUCACAUUCAAGUGAAAACAGCGCCUUAAAUGAUAUAACUUCACUCUGAAUGCUGGCCUAAAAGGAAGCCUGCUGUGUCAAACAGGCUCACCUAAGUCUACAGAAGUCAACUAGUGCUCACUGUCAUCUGCAAGCAGUGCUCCAGUGGGGACCGAAUGUGCUUCUUCAGGACCAUCUGUAACACGGGGGUAGGGUGAUGAUUGAUCUUUUUGCAUGAUAUAUUUAUGUUAAGUAUUAAUCAACAGCUCUUGAUAAAGAAAAACACCGCGUACGCCUAAGCAAACACACAUG